Molecule: ribosomal RNA, 523 nt
Filed under: uncultured bacterium
Lineage: Bacteria
Description: bacterial SSU rRNA
Rfam family: Bacterial small subunit ribosomal RNA
Source: RNAcentral
AAUAGAUACCCGGGUAGUCCACGCCGUAAACGAUGAGUGCUAAGUGUUAGAGGGUUUCCGCCCUUUAGUGCUGCAGCAAACGCAUUAAGCACUCCGCCUGGGGAGUACGGUCGCAAGACUGAAACUCAAAGGAAUUGACGGGGGCCCGCACAAGCGGUGGAGCAUGUGGUUUAAUUCGAAGCAACGCGAAGAACCUUACCAGGUCUUGACAUCCUCUGACAACCCUAGAGAUAGGGCUUCCCUUCGGGGGCAGAGUGACAGGUGGUGCAUGGUUGUCGUCAGCUCGUGUCGUGAGAUGUUGGGUUAAGUCCCGCAACGAGCGCAACCCUUGAUCUUAGUUGCCAGCAUUCAGUUGGGCACUCUAAGGUGACUGCCGGUGACAAACCGGAGGAAGGUGGGGAUGACGUCAAAUCAUCAUGCCCCUUAUGACCUGGGCUACACACGUGCUACAAUGGGCAGAACAAAGGGCAGCGAAGCCGCGAGGCUAAGCCAAUCCCACAAAUCUGUUCUCAGUUCGGAUCGC